GAGAAAAAGCAGCUUGGUGCUGUCAAAUUUUUGAGGAAAAGAGAGUUGAAAGUGCUGCCAUCGGAGGAGGAAGAAAACGACCCAAGGAAGAGAGGAAGCCACGGUGGUGAAGAGAGGAAGACAUGGUGGUGAAGGGAGUGACGAUGAAAGAGAGAAAAAAGAAAGAAAAAGAAAAGAACAGAAAAGAAGUAGAAAAUAAAAAUAUGCAUGGCCCAAAUAGAAAAUAAAAAUGGGCAUGACCCAAAUAGAAAAUAAAUGGGCAUGACCCAAUAGAAAAUAAGUGGGCAUGGCCUAAUAGAAAAUAAAAAUAAAUAGAUUUGGCCUAAAUAGGAAAAAUGGAGAAGCCCAUGGAAAAGGCCCAAUGGUAUGUUAAUUUUAUAUUUUAAGAUUUAUGGGUAGUUUAAUACUGUGCAUAUUUUGGAUGAAAAAUAUGCAAGUUGCUUAAGGAAUUUUUAAUUAAGUUGCUACCCAUAUAAAUGUGUGAUUAAGUAUACUAAGUUUAAAUUGUUGCUAGGAAAGUUGUCGUGGAGGUGUGCCGAACGAAGUAUGUGACCGACAAAUAGGAAUAAUUAUACGCGUACGAAUCAAUAGUGAAGUAAUAUUCCACUAUAAUGAGGUGAGUAGGGGGUGUCAAUUUUAAAGAAUUCCGUAUAUAUAUACAUGUACAUAUAUUUUACGUGAAGUGCAAAAUUUACGGAAAACAUGCGUUGAUAGAAUUUUAAGGAAAUGUGGGUGUAAGUUAUUUUUAGAAAUCAUUUGAAAUAUAUAUAUAUAUAUAUUAGACGUAAAGUGUUUUAAACCGAGAAACAAGCUUUUCGAAAAGAUUUAUAUCAAAGGAAAUUGUGCCUUAUUGUUUGUGUG
RNAcentral lists this long non-coding RNA (861 nucleotides) under Theobroma cacao (cacao). RNAcentral describes it as "long non-coding RNA (TCAC_LNC006495)". Lineage: Eukaryota; Viridiplantae; Streptophyta; Magnoliopsida; Malvales; Malvaceae. The record is from RNAcentral.